GGAAAAGUUGGUGUACGCUGCAAAAAAACUUUUACUAAGUAUUUGUGGUCUAGUUUCAAUGCAGAUGUCUUAGUACCAUUGAAAUAAGUCCAAACUAACUUACAAGUAACUUAUCAGCAAGAUACAGGAGCUUGUCUUAAGUAAAUAAUUCCUUAAUAUUG
This is a long non-coding RNA of Xiphophorus couchianus (Monterrey platyfish), 161 nucleotides long. RefSeq lists it as uncharacterized. The record is from RefSeq and is a predicted model, not a curated record. NCBI's taxonomy places the organism in Eukaryota, Metazoa, Chordata, Actinopteri, Cyprinodontiformes, Poeciliidae. The transcript has 3 exons.